This 253-nucleotide ribosomal RNA is filed under the name uncultured bacterium. RNAcentral describes it as "partial 16S ribosomal RNA". It matches the Rfam family "Bacterial small subunit ribosomal RNA", at positions 524 to 776 of the family's 1533-position model. The record is from RNAcentral.
UACGUAGGGGGCAAGCGUUAUCCGGAUUUACUGGGUGUAAAGGGAGCGUAGACGGCAAUGCAAGUCUGGAGUGAAAGGCGGGGGCCCAACCCCCGGACUGCUCUGGAAACUGUAUAGCUGGAGUGCAGGAGAGGUAAGUGGAAUUCCUAGUGUAGCGGUGAAAUGCGUAGAUAUUAGGAGGAACACCAGUGGCGAAGGCGGCUUACUGGACUGUAACUGACGUUGAGGCACGAAAGCGUGGGGAGCAAAUAGG